RNAcentral lists this ribosomal RNA (497 nucleotides) under uncultured bacterium. RNAcentral's name for it is "partial 16S ribosomal RNA". It matches the Rfam family "Bacterial small subunit ribosomal RNA", at positions 28 to 507 of the family's 1533-position model. The record is from RNAcentral.
GAUGAACGCUGGCGGCGUGCCUAAUACAUGCAAGUCGAGCGAACAGAUGAGGAGCUUGCUCCUCUGACGUUAGCGGCGGACGGGUGAGUAACACGUGGAUAACCUACCUAUAAGACUGGUAUAACCUCGGGAAACCGGAGCUAACACCGGAGAAGAUAUUGAACCGCAUGGGUCGAUAGAGAAAUACGGUGUUGCUGUCACUUAUAGAGGGAUCCGCGCCGCAUUAGCUAGUUGUUAAGGUAACGGCUUACCAAGGCAACUAUGCGUAGCCGACGUCAGAGGGGGAUAGGCCACCCGGGAACGUGACCACGGUCCAGGCUCCUAAGGGAGGCCGCAGUAGGGAAUCUUCCGCAGUGGGCGAAAGCCUGACGCAGUGGCGCGGCGUGAGUUACAAAGACCUUCGGAUCGUGAAGCCGUGUUACUAGGUGUGAACCGCUGUGUAAUUAACUAUGCCCGUAUUGACGGUACUUAGUCAGAAAGCACCGGCUAACUACGUG